GCGGGUAUGGUUCAAUGGCAGAACGCAACCUUCCCAAGGUUGAAAUGCGGGUUCGAUUCCCGCUACCCGCU
RNAcentral lists this transfer RNA (71 nucleotides) under Chloroflexota bacterium. RNAcentral's name for it is "Chloroflexi bacterium tRNA-Gly". It matches the Rfam family "tRNA". Rfam says of the family: Transfer RNA (tRNA) molecules are approximately 80 nucleotides in length. Their secondary structure includes four short double-helical elements and three loops (D, anti-codon, and T loops). Further hydrogen bonds mediate the characteristic L-shaped molecular structure. tRNAs have two regions of fundamental functional importance: the anti-codon, which is responsible for specific mRNA codon recognition, and the 3' end, to which the tRNAs corresponding amino acid is attached (by aminoacyl-tRNA synthetases). tRNAs cope with the degeneracy of the genetic code in two manners: having more than one tRNA (with a specific anti-codon) for a particular amino acid; and 'wobble' base-pairing, i.e. permitting non-standard base-pairing at the 3rd anti-codon position. Lineage: Bacteria; Bacillati; Chloroflexota. The record is from RNAcentral.